UACGGAGGGAGCUAGCGUUGUUCGGAAUUACUGGGCGUAAAGCGCGCGUAGGCGGCGAAUUAAGUCAGAGGUGAAAGCCCGGGGCUCAACCCCGGAACUGCCUUUGAAACUGGCUCGCUAGAAUCUUGGAGGGGUCAGUGGAAUUCCGAGUGUAGAGGUGAAAUUCGUAGAUAUUCGGAAGAACACCAGUGGCGAAGGCGACUGACUGGACAAGUAUUGACGCUGAGGUGCGAAAGCGUGGGGAGCAAACAGG
This 253-nucleotide ribosomal RNA is filed under the name uncultured Novosphingobium sp. RNAcentral describes it as "partial 16S ribosomal RNA". It matches the Rfam family "Bacterial small subunit ribosomal RNA", at positions 524 to 776 of the family's 1533-position model. Lineage: Bacteria; Pseudomonadati; Pseudomonadota; Alphaproteobacteria; Sphingomonadales; Sphingomonadaceae. The record is from RNAcentral.